GAGAGAGAGAGAGAGAGAAAUUUGAUUUCCACAGCAUCAGCUCCUUAAGGGAAGUAACUUCCUUAUUCUGCUAUGAUAGAAAGAAGUCCCCUACAGCCGUGUUUGGCGGCAUCUCUCCUGAUGAUGUUGGCGUUUGAAAACGGCAAGUGGGCGUGGAGCAUCUUCCAUAGGCUGCUGUGUGGGAGAACAUGGGAGCAAAGGGAAACUGAAGCAGAAGAGAAAGGCCAGGGUAACACCAUGUAGGGCAUCAGCUGACAAAUUAAGAAACUGGUAUGCGCGAAGGCUCCUUUAGACAUUCAGAAAUAAAUGUGUCCUGUGACACGGACGGCUCUGCUCAUACCUUCAAACAGAUCAGGGCUAAUAAACCACAAGGCUGAGCGUAAGGAACAACAAGCAAUUGAAGGGUCCAGCUGAAAUUGCAAACUAUAAAUCUGUCCCACAUGGCAGAAUUAUGCAAUUUUCUCCAGCAAAGCUCAGCAGUCCAGAGAUGGGAAAUGUCUGUGAUUAGAUAGGAGCAGGUUGGAAAGCACAGAUAGGUCUAAGAAGAUAAAAGGCAGAACGGCAAGCCCAGUUAGAUGAGCAGAUGAAAAACGGAAAAGGAUGGAUUUCAUCAGGAAAGGAAACCGGGAAGACUGGUCUGAACAGUUUCUUCCAGGUCAUGGAAUAAGAGAGUCUGCAAAUACUCAAGUGAUAUACCAAGGUGACAAGUUAUCCCUGAUUAGUGAAUAAAGAUGUCUCCAGCCAAUAGCUGGGCAGAAGAGAGAUAAGUUGGAUUCUCUGGUUCCUGGACUUGGGGUCAUGAGGGAGAGAGGAGGAGGAACAAGGAGAAAGCCACCAUGGGUUGUCAACUUGAUUCUAUCUGGAAAUGACUCAAACCUAAAACUGGUACACUUGUGAGGGAAUUUAGAUCAUUUUAAGUGGGAAGAUGCACUUCUGAUCCAGAUGUUGGCGAUAUGAAGGCAUACCUUUAGUCCCAGCCACACCUUCUUUGAGUUCCCCAGCCUAAAAAGGAGAGUGAUCUAUUUCAUUCAAAGGUAAAUUUAUCAAACUAAGGACAAGAGCAUGGAAGAGUAAUCACGUGAGAUAAUCACAGAGGACAUCCCAAGCUGGAAUACUCUAUAGGCACAUAAUACAAAUAAUGUAUUGCAAGACACUAGCUGAGACACAGAAAAGGGAAAGGAGAGAAAACAAAAAACACCUAAUCUCUCGUGAGAGACACAGCCAG
This 1225-nucleotide small RNA is filed under the name Rattus norvegicus (Norway rat). RNAcentral's name for it is "uncharacterized LOC103691690". The record is from RNAcentral. Lineage: Eukaryota; Metazoa; Chordata; Mammalia; Rodentia; Muridae.